GACGAACGCUGGCGGCGUGCCUAAUACGUGCAAGUAGAACGCUGAAGAGAGGAGCUUGCUCUUCUUGGAUGAGUUGCGAACGGGUGAGUAACGCGUAGGUAACCUGCCUUGUAGCGGGGGAUAACUAUUGGAAACGAUAGCUAAUACCGCAUAACAAUGGAUGACCCAUGUCAUUUAUUUGAAAGGGGCAAAUGCUCCACUACAAGAUGGACCUGCGUUGUAUUAGCUAGUAGGUGAGGUAACGGCUCACCUAGGCGACGAUACAUAGUCGACCUGAGAGGGUGAUCGGCCACACUGGGACUGAGACACGGCCCAGACUCCUACGGGAGGCAGCAGUAGGGAAUCUUCGGCAAUGGGGGCAACCCUGACCGAGCAACGCCGCGUGAGUGAAGAAGGUUUUCGGAUCGUAAAGCUCUGUUGUAAGUCAAGAACGAGUGUGAGAGUGGAAAGUUCACACUGUGACGGUAGCUUACCAGAAAGGGACGGCUAACUACGUG
RNAcentral lists this ribosomal RNA (497 nucleotides) under uncultured bacterium. RNAcentral's name for it is "partial 16S ribosomal RNA". It matches the Rfam family "Bacterial small subunit ribosomal RNA", at positions 28 to 507 of the family's 1533-position model. The record is from RNAcentral.